Molecule: ribosomal RNA, 429 nt
Filed under: uncultured Gammaproteobacteria bacterium
Lineage: Bacteria; Pseudomonadati; Pseudomonadota; Gammaproteobacteria
Description: bacterial SSU rRNA
Rfam family: Bacterial small subunit ribosomal RNA
Source: RNAcentral
UGGGGAAUCUUGGGCAAUGGGCGCAAGCCUGACCCAGCCAUGCCGCGUGUGCGAAGAAGGCUCUAGGGUUGUAAAGCACUUUCAGUGGUGAAGAAAAUCUCGGGGUUAAUACCCCCGGGUCUUGACGUUAGCCACAGAAGAAGCACCGGCUAACUCCGUGCCAGCAGCCGCGGUAAUACGGAGGGUGCGAACGUUAAUCGGAAUUACUGGGCGUAAAGCGCGCGUAGGCGGUUCGGUAAGUGGGAUGUGAAAGCCCCGGGCUCAACCUGGGAACUGCAUUCCAAACUGCCGAACUGGAGUAUGGUAGAGGGAGGUAGAAUUUCCUGUGUAGCGGUGGAAUGCGUAGAUAUAGGAAGGAAUACCGAUGGCGAAGGCAGCCUCCUGGACCAAUACUGACGCUGAGGCGCGAAAGCGUGGGUAGCAAACAGG